Amblyraja radiata (thorny skate) is the source of this 151-nucleotide long non-coding RNA. RefSeq lists it as uncharacterized. The transcript has 3 exons. The record is from RefSeq and is a predicted model, not a curated record. NCBI's taxonomy places the organism in Eukaryota, Metazoa, Chordata, Chondrichthyes, Rajiformes, Rajidae.
AAAAACGCCUAACGCAGGCAAAGCCGUGAUAGUCGGGGACUCCAUCGUGAGAGGUACAGACUGGGGUUUCUGCGGCAACAGCCGGGAUUCAAGGAUAUUGUGUUGCCUUCCUGGUGCCAGGAUCCAGGACGUCACAGACCGAUUGCAGAGC